GUCCGAGGCUCCUCGCUCAUGACUGAUGGCCACAGGAGCCCGGAGUGGCAGGGCUGAUGAAGCCCACGGGGCAAGCCCUUGACCUACACGUGAAUGAGGAGACCAGACCUGGAUCAGAGGGAACGAAGUCCACAUCCAGCUUCUCCUGACUUCCUGGAAUCCAGUCCACCAUGCUCUGAAGUUCGGUCUCAGGCCUCCUAAGGGUCGUGACUCAGCACAAGCAGUAACUCAGGCCGGAGACUGCAAGCUUCUCCCCCUGCCCCCUACCUGUCUUCAGAAGGCUCAGAAUUGCUGCUGUUGUUCCAGCUACAAAACAGAUUAGGACCUGAAGCAAUGGUGGGGGAAGAGAGGAGGGGCUCAUAGUCCAUCUGGACAAAGGAGAGGCUUGCCCUCCGGACAUCCUCUUUUCCAGGACUCUGAUUUUCCCACCAUCAAAUGAGGUCUUAGCAACAUGGUCAAGUUGCUCUUCUGUGGACAUUGGAAGAAUGGGGAAUCAGUUAAGUAUUUGAGUUAGGCUAGACUAUGCUGUAGUAACCAAAAAAUCCUCAG
RNAcentral lists this long non-coding RNA (549 nucleotides) under Ursus maritimus (polar bear). RNAcentral describes it as "lncRNA (ENSUMAG00000000047.1)". Lineage: Eukaryota; Metazoa; Chordata; Mammalia; Carnivora; Ursidae. The record is from RNAcentral.